GCUAUGCUUCUUGAGGGCAAGUCUGUAUUUGAUUCAUCUUUCUACUCACAAGCCUUGCACAGUCCGAGGCACCAGGUACGCCCUCCAUAAAAAUUGCCUUCAAUAGAUGAGUGGCAGCUCUGUGAGAUGAGUCACUGCUGGUUUCCUUGCUUGGAUUAGGUCAGCCCUGCAGCCCAGCUGGAGCUCUUCAAUUACUCAAGAUAGAGGACACCAGAUCCUCAUCCUGGGCGCAUCAAUUCUAAACCAGUAAGAACAGAAUAGCCCACUCCUACCUCAGGGAGCCGAGCCGUCUUGGACGCAGAGAAGGAGCCCGGAUUUGCAACCCAGCUGCAGAGCUUCAGAUAAGGGGUUUUUGGACGCUACAUUCUCCUGACCCUAUAGCUUCCAAGGAAACAGGACUCAGUCUGCCCCUCGGCCCAGGCUGGUGUUAAUUCCUUUAUACACAGCGCUAUUUGCUUUGAGGGCAUUAAAACACAGCUUCAUUUGAAUUUUAGCUGAAUCCCACCAUUUCCCCAAGUCCUGUAACAAGUUGGUGGCUUCCUGCGUCCGAUGAAGCACUCCCUGGUCCCCAGAGCACUGUCCCAUGCUGUAACAAGUCAGUACACCUCCUCGUGGACCACACAUUUGUCCCUGGGGAUCUCUGCCUUCCCUAUUUGAGACAUUCCAGGGAAGUGAUCCCUGGACGCAUGUGGGAAUAUUGUGGAAGCCGGACCACAGGCCUGCUUCUUGUGAAGGGCUCUCCGACUCGGUUGACGGCAACUCUGUUCUUCCAGUUGAAAAUCCUGGAGACCUCCUUGAUCCUGUCUCUCCUGCCUUGCAUCUAAAGGAGUAAAGCUUAUUGGCUCUUCCUUCAAAACCCCAUCACCUGCCACCUUCACCUGUCCAUCCUGAUCCCUUCAACUAUCACCACUUGCCUUGGUUAUUGAAACUGCAUCCUAACUGGGCUUCCUGCCUCCCCCAUCAAUCCCCUACAGCAGCAGGCUCCACUCAGCAGCCAGGAAAACCCUUUUCAUAUGCAAAUCUGGCUGCCCCCUCCUCCCCUCAAAACCCUCCAAUGAUGCCCACCUCACCAAAAUCUUUACAAUAGCUUACGAGGUCCUAUACAAUCUGGCUCUGGUUACCUCUCUGAAUUUCUCUCGCACCCUCUCCUUUUCAUUACUCCACAGCAGCCACACUAGCUUCUUGGCUAUUCCUUGAAAUACCAACGGUGCUUUCACCUCAGGGCCUUUGCAUGUGCUGUUUCUUCUGCCUGGAGCACUCUUCCUCUACAUUUCCACAUGGCUCACUCCCUCACUUCCUUCAAGUCUACACCUGAGUGUCACUUUCUUGGAGAUGCCCCCUGACCACUGCAUGUGUGCACAUGCACAAACACACAUGCAUGCACAUAAAUGGCAAAUAUUUCCAAUCCCACCACACCCUGUCUCCCACACUCAAAUUUAUUUCCCCCAUAUCAUCUGUUGCCAUUGGACUCACAUCAUAUUGACCCUUCUGUGUGUUUAUUUCCUAGCCCUGCCACUAGAAAAUACGUUCCGCUUGAUCAGGAGCUUACUUUAGUCUGUUCACUACUGUGUCUCCAGCAUGUAGAACAAAGUUGGCAUAAAGUAGAUAUUCAAUUAAUAUUUUUAAUUGAACUGUAUGAAUGAAAUCAAAGGUUUUAAUAGGUUUUAAUUAAUUCCCAUGCACUCCUGAGCAGUAGAGACAAUAUCAUUUUUCCUUUUGAUCACAUGAAAC
This is a long non-coding RNA of Equus caballus (horse), 1731 nucleotides long. The record is from Ensembl. Lineage: Eukaryota; Metazoa; Chordata; Mammalia; Perissodactyla; Equidae.